This 118-nucleotide ribosomal RNA is filed under the name Pteropus alecto (black flying fox). Lineage: Eukaryota; Metazoa; Chordata; Mammalia; Chiroptera; Pteropodidae. The record is from RNAcentral.
GUCUACGGCCACGCCACCCCGAACGAGUUGAUCCCGUCUGAUCUCGCAAGCUGAGCAGGUUCGGGCCUGCUUAGUACUUGGAUGGGAGACCACCUAGGAAGACCAGGUGCUGUAGGCA